CCUCCGUUCUUCCGCCGUUCUUACUAUUUUUCACUUGUCUCUAUCCUUAACCAGCCAAGUCGCGUGAGGGAGUACUGCCCUAUGGGUUGUAAACCUCUUUUGUCGGGGAGCAAAAGCCGGACGUGUCCGGCUGUGAGAGUACCCGAAGAAAAAGCAUCGGCUAACUCCGUGCCAGCAGCCGCGGUAAUACGGAGGAUGCGAGCGUUAUCCGGAUUUAUUGGGUUUAAAGGGUGCGCAGGCGGAUUUUUAAGUCAGCGGUCAAAUCGUGGGGCUCAACCCCAUCCAGCCGUUGAAACUGGGGAUCUAGAGUGUGCGAGAGGUAUGCGGAAUGCGUGGUGUAGCGGUGAAAUGCAUAGAUAUCACGCAGAACCCCGAUUGCGAAGGCAGCAUACCGGUGCACAACUGACGCUCAGGCACGAAAGCGUGGGUAUCGAACAGGAUUAGAUACCCGUGUAGUC
This 458-nucleotide ribosomal RNA is filed under the name uncultured bacterium. RNAcentral's name for it is "partial 16S ribosomal RNA". It matches the Rfam family "Bacterial small subunit ribosomal RNA", at positions 338 to 795 of the family's 1533-position model. The record is from RNAcentral.